RNAcentral lists this ribosomal RNA (233 nucleotides) under uncultured bacterium. Its description in RNAcentral is "partial 16S ribosomal RNA". It matches the Rfam family "Bacterial small subunit ribosomal RNA", at positions 118 to 351 of the family's 1533-position model. The record is from RNAcentral.
UGAGUAACCUGCCCUGGACUUUGGGAUAACCCUCGGAAACGACGUCUAAUACCGGAUACGACCUCCGAUGGCAUCAUCUGGAGGUGGAAAGCUCCGACGGUCAAGGAUGGGCUCGCGGCCUAUCAGCUUGUUGGUGAGGUAACGGCUCACCAAGGCUUCGACGGGUAGCCGGCCUGAGAGGGCGACCGGCCACACUGGGACUGAGAUACGGCCCAGACUCCUACGGGAGGCAG